UGAAUGGCAUCACGAGGGUUAUACUGUCUCCUUUUUCCAAUCAGUGAAACUAAUCUCCCCGUGAAGAAGCGGGGAUAAGACCAUAAGACGAGAAGACCCUAUGGAGCUUUAAAUUUCUCUUCAAACGCCGGCUAAUUUAGUAAGUCAUAGACCCCUUCCCCCUUAACCCUAGCGCCAUGAAGACGACUUUUAGGUUGGGGUGACCGCGGAGUACAAAAAAACCUCCACAUUGAACUAGGCUCCCAAGCCCUGAGCAAAGGGCCACAACCCCAUGCACUAAAAAACUAACAUCCAUUGACCCAAUACCUUUUGAUCAACGAACCAAGUUACCCUAGGGAUAACAGCGCAAUCCACUUCAAGAGUCCAUAUCGACAAGUGG
Molecule: ribosomal RNA, 379 nt
Filed under: Scinax squalirostris (striped snouted treefrog)
Lineage: Eukaryota; Metazoa; Chordata; Amphibia; Anura; Hylidae
Description: partial 16S ribosomal RNA
Rfam family: Bacterial large subunit ribosomal RNA
Source: RNAcentral